ACAGCCGGCGGGCUUGGGGAAGUGUUGGGGAGCCGUUUGUGAGCCGGCUGAUACGUACCGGAGGCGCCUGGCUUGGGGUCCCUGGGCCUUCGCCUUGGGGCUGCCCUUCAGCUGAACCUUGCGGGCCAAACGGGCGGCUGCAGGCUGGGUGGGUCGGGCUCUGGAGGCCCCUCUCGUGCUCUGAGCGGAAGAAGCCGAACACCGGAAAACCUGAAUAGAUGGAAAGGGCUUGAGAGCGGAGAGAUUUUAUUCCUCAAAGUUGCUCCCAAAAUUAAAGCCACGGUUGCCCCUUCAGGAGCACCUGCACAUCCUCAGGACAUUGAGAAAAGAAAACCUAAAAUCAACAUCUGAGUAUUAGUUUCUUGGAGCUGCCAUGACAAAUUACAGGCAUACCCUGGAGAUACCGCUUUAUCACUACAAAAGGAGCUUCAUCUUUCAAGAUAACCUGAGGAAUUGAAGCAGUUGGUGGUAAAUUAAGUGUGACUUCAACAAGGGAAAACAUGGCUUACACUGUGGAAUGCCUGCGGGAUGAUAUUGAUAUCCUAAUGGAGUUCCCUUCCACGGCACCAGAAUUUCGUCGUUGGAAAGUAGCUGCUAUUCAGUCUCAGCUAAGGAUUGACAAAGCUGUUGCUAUUCAGAAUCCACACGCUCGUAUAUCACUGUUUUAGACCUGGAUCUCUGUGUCAUUUUUACCAUAUGCACUGUAUACUUACCUGGAUUGCUGCCUUCUUCCACAUUACUGCACUGAGAAAAGAGUACCAGACAACCUAUCCAAAUGUUUAUAUGCAAGUGCUGUUCUUCAUAUCAAAGGUAACAUAUACUGGGGAAUUUUCCAGUAAUGAUGACAUUAUACUAAACUAAAACCAUUCUGUCAAACUUCUUACUCUAGCUAGGUGGAUUAUGGAUAUAGUCAGUAGCCCCAAGAGUAGAUUUUCCUCCAACUAGCUAAGUAUUAGUGAGGUCAUUAAUUGAACCUCAUUAAUUGAACUCAGUAACUAAGUGUAAAUGAGUAUUCUAAAAGUAAAGGAUGAUUGAUAAUCACAGGUAGCCUAGAAGAUGAUGUUAAAAUCCUACAUUUGCUUAUUAGGAUGCAUAAAAUGAGAAAAUACAUAUUUUGUCCUGUACAUAAAAUAAUUACUUUGAAGUUAAAUUUAAAUUUUUUAAAAAAGUAAUGAAUUACUUAGGAACCAUAACAAGGAAUCUUAUUUAAAACAUAUAGACAGUAAUAUAUCAGCAUGUUAAGUCACCUUUAGGACUCCUAGAUAAGAUUCAGUGGGUUAGAAUAAGAAGACAAAAUGGGUUAGAAUAAGAAGACAAACUCUUGUGUGUUGAAAUGCUGAUAUAGAACUAAUCCCCAGAGCUUUAGAAGACUGUUUCUAUAUGUGCCUACUUAGCUACAAUCCAGUAGGUAGCUAUCAUCCAGUAACCAUUUAGAAUCACACCAGUAGCUCAUAAAAGAUGUCUGCUUUAAGUGGACCACCCUGUAUUUAAGAUUUGAUUUCCUUCGUUGUGAAUAUCUUCAUAGUUACUAGGAAAGUGGGUACAUUAUGGGUUUUCCUCCUUUGCUGUUUAUUUUAUUUUUUGUGUCUAUAAGUUGUUGGCCAGUGCUUUUGUUCUCUCUGUUAGCCUAAUGUUAAAAUAUUGUAUCCCUUAUCACUUUCUACUGCCCUUCCUCUUGGCAAAUCCCCAACUUGUCCAUUCAAGCAGUUUUGUACUCAGAUGAAAAAGUCUGAGGUGUAGAUGUCAUCAGCUAUUCCAAAUGAUCAAAGACACUGGUACAGUUCAGAUUUUUCUGGUAUCCCAUUAAAUACCAACCAUAGCCCUUUACUGUGCUCAGCUUCUGUUUCUCUGAGCUGCAGUUUUUACUGAGUUUUUAGAACUUGCAGUUCUCUAACUAGGACUGACUUUUGACCUGUAUUGUUAUAGGCUACAGAGGCAUUAACUCCUUUUCUGUGAAACUGCUCUCUUUUAUACAUUCCAAAAAUUAUUUAGAGAUUCUGAUUUGUUGUUGAUAUACUUGUCAUUUUUCCCAUGCUGUUAGAGAGUUUUAUAUAUAUAGUUACAUCAUUUCAGUGGGAUUUGGAGAAGAGUAAAUUCACUCACUUUACUUUCUGAAGGUGUUUAAUAAAUGUUAAUUGAAUGAGAGGAAUCAGUAGUGCAGUUGAUUUGAGCUAAAUAGUAACAAGUAUUUGUGAGAAACUUAGUCCAUGUUCACUUACUGUCUUUUAAAUAUUUAUAAUGAGAAAGUAUGAUAAUUUUCCUAAGAUGACAUCUUUUUCUAGGUAAGUCAGAAAUGGUUUAAAUUCCAUAAUCCCCAUAUGGCCUAACCAUAUGUGUAAUCAGUUAGAGUGCAGGAGACAUAAUGAAGUGUCUAAGAGCAAGGUUCUGGAGCCUGGGUUCAGGUUCUUCCUAUUCCACUUACUGGCAGUAUGGUCUUGGCCAACAUACUGGAGAAGUCUGUUAGAGGAUGAAAGCAUUCACUGUACAAAGUACUAAAGGGCUUGGCACAUAGUACUAUGUAGGCAGCUAUCUUAAAAUUCAUCAAAAGUACUGUGUAGUUUAAGGUUGUAAAUAUAAAUAUUACCAUCCUGGAAUAUACAUUUUGGCCAAAUUGGCCAGA
Molecule: non-coding RNA, 2620 nt
Organism: Manis javanica (Malayan pangolin)
Lineage: Eukaryota; Metazoa; Chordata; Mammalia; Pholidota; Manidae
Source: RefSeq, a predicted model, not a curated record